Molecule: ribosomal RNA, 463 nt
Filed under: uncultured bacterium
Lineage: Bacteria
Description: SSU rRNA
Rfam family: Bacterial small subunit ribosomal RNA
Source: RNAcentral
AGAAUCAACGCUGGCGGCGUGCCUAACACAUGCAAGUCGAACGAGAAAGUGGAGCAAUCCAUGAGUAAAGUGGCGCACGGGUGAGUAACACGUGACUAACCUACCCUUGAGUGGGGGAUAACCUAGAGAAAUCUGGGCUAAUACCGCAUAAUACCUUCGGGUCAAAGGAGCAAUUCGCUUAAGGAGGGGGUCGCGGCCGAUUAGUUAGUUGGCGGGGUAAUGGCCCACCAAGACUGUGAUCGGUAUCCGGCCUGAGAGGGCGCGACGGACGACGACUGGAACUGAAACACGGUCCAGACUCCUACGGGAGGCAGCAGUGGGGAAUUUUGCACAAUGGGGGAAACCCUGACGCAGCAACGCCGCGUGGAGGAUGAAGCCCCUUGGGGCGUAAACUCCUUUCGAUCGGGAAGAUAAUGACGGUACCGAGAGAAGAAGCCCCGGCUAACUUCGUGCCAGCAGCCGC